Molecule: ribosomal RNA, 1212 nt
Filed under: Listeria monocytogenes
Lineage: Bacteria; Bacillati; Bacillota; Bacilli; Caryophanales; Listeriaceae
Description: bacterial LSU rRNA
Rfam family: Bacterial large subunit ribosomal RNA
Source: RNAcentral
UAGUGAACCAGUACCGUGAGGGAAAGGUGAAAAGCACCCCGGAAGGGGAGUGAAACAGUUCCUGAAACCGUGUGCCUACAAGUAGUUAGAGCCCGUUAAUGGGUGAUAGCGUGCCUUUUGUAGAAUGAACCGGCGAGUUACGAUUUGUUGCAAGGUUAAGCGGAAAAAGCGGAGCCGUAGCGAAAGCGAGUCUGAAUAGGGCGCAUAAGUAACAGGUCGUAGACCCGAAACCAGGUGAUCUACCCAUGUCCAGGAUGAAGGUAAGGUAAUACUUACUGGAGGUCCGAACCCACGCACGUUGAAAAGUGCGGGGAUGAGGUGUGGGUAGCGGAGAAAUUCCAAUCGAACUUGGAGAUAGCUGGUUCUCUCCGAAAUAGCUUUAGGGCUAGCCUCGAGGUAAAGAGUCAUGGAGGUAGAGCACUGUUUGGACUAGGGGCCCUUCUCGGGUUACCGAAUUCAGAUAAACUCCGAAUGCCAUGUACUUAUACUCGGGAGUCAGACUGCGAGUGAUAAGAUCCGUAGUCGAAAGGGAAACAGCCCAGACCACCAGUUAAGGUCCCCAAAUAUAUGUUAAGUGGAAAAGGAUGUGGGGUUGCUUAGACAACCAGGAUGUUGGCUUAGAAGCAGCCACCAUUGAAAGAGUGCGUAAUAGCUCACUGGUCGAGUGACCCCGCGCCGAAAAUGUACCGGGGCUAAACAUAUUACCGAAACUGUGGAUGAACCGCUUUAGAGGUUCGUGGUAGGAGAGCGUUCUAAGGGCGGUGAAGUCAGACCGGAAGGACUGGUGGAGCGCUUAGAAGUGAGAAUGCCGGUAUGAGUAGCGAAAGAAGGGUGAGAAUCCCUUCCACCGAAUAUCUAAGGUUUCCUGAGGAAGGCUCGUCCGCUCAGGGUUAGUCGGGACCUAAGCCGAGGCCGAUAGGCGUAGGCGAUGGACAACAGGUAGAGAUUCCUGUACCAGUGCUAAUUGUUUAACCGAUGGGGUGACACAGAAGGAUAGGGAAUCGCACGAAUGGAAAUGUGCGUCCAAGCAGUGAGUGUGAGAAGUAGGCAAAUCCGCUUCUCGCGAAGCAUGAGCUGUGAUGGGGAAGGAAAUUAAGUACGGAAGUUCCUGAUUUCACGCUGUCAAGAAAAGCCUCUAGGAAGAGUAGUACUGCCCGUACCGCAAACCGACACAGGUAGAUGAGGAGAGAAUCCUAAGGUGAGCGAGAGAAC